CCUACGGGUGGCAGCAGUGAGGAAUAUUGGUCAAUGGCCGAGAGGCUGAACCAGCCAAGUCGCGUGAGGGAAGACGGCCCUACGGGUUGUAAACCUCUUUUGUCGGGGAGCAACGCGACCCACGUGUGGUUCCUUGAGAGUACCCGAAGAAAAAGCAUCGGCUAACUCCGUGCCAGCAGCCGCGGUGAUCCGGCGUAUGCGAGCGUUAUCCGGAUUUAUUGGGUUUAAAGGGUGCGCAGGCGGGGGUGCAAGUCAGCGGUCCACUUGCGGGGCUCAACCCCGUACUGCCGUUGAAACUGCAUCCCUUGAGUGCGCGAGAAGUAUGCGGAAUGCGUGGUGUAGCGGUGAAAUGCAUAGAUAUCACGCAGAACUCCGAUUGCGAAGGCAGCAUACCAGCGCGCAACUGACGCUCAUGCACGAAAGCGUGGGUAUCGAACAGGAUUAGAUACCCUAGUAGUC
RNAcentral lists this ribosomal RNA (459 nucleotides) under uncultured bacterium. RNAcentral's name for it is "partial 16S ribosomal RNA". It matches the Rfam family "Bacterial small subunit ribosomal RNA", at positions 338 to 795 of the family's 1533-position model. The record is from RNAcentral.